Dicentrarchus labrax (European seabass) is the source of this 3613-nucleotide long non-coding RNA. RefSeq lists it as uncharacterized. The record is from RefSeq and is a predicted model, not a curated record. The transcript has 2 exons. Lineage: Eukaryota; Metazoa; Chordata; Actinopteri; Moronidae.
ACUGCAGAUACAAAUACACACAUAAGUAAACACAUGCACAGGCACACAAAAACGGCUGACGGUGGGGUGACUGAGUUGCUAGACAGGUUCAGGUGACAAAGCAAUGACAUUUGUUUCCCAGGUCAUGAUAAUUAGGCCGAUCUAACUGGCUCGUUGCACAAGCCGCUCACACACCCGCUGACCUGUCUCCGGCGUCCUUAAGUGUCGAACCACUUAGUCACAUCCGAACUAUGACAUAACCCAUCAUUAAGAACCUCACCGGCUGCACUAUAAAUGGAACAAAACCGACUCCUGUAACAAUGUUCAAAGCCAUGAAAUCACUCUGCUGCUCAGUUUUAAUAGGCUUCCUCUCUGCAGUGCUGCUGCUGUAGAAAGUUUAAUGUAUAAUGUAUAAUGUCUGGCUCACUGCACUCGGUAAGAUCCAGAGAGAGAAACUCCCUGACCUUUGAGCAGCAUUUAGAAACUUGGAAAUUGGAAAGGACAAUUUAGAGCAGAAGAAACCCCACUGGGAAUUACAUGAACCAUGCUCUACCUGAAUGCACAGAGGAAGUGAAUGUAAAAUGCUGUGCAUGCGCUGAUGCAUGCAGGGGUCUCAUGUUUAUGACAUGUAGCAUCUUCUGCACCUGUGCAACAAACACAACAUUUUUCAUGUUUAUAUAAGCAAAAACUAAUUAAUAGAUUCAGAUUUGGAUCGGCGCUGUUUAUGACAGAUAGGGCCGCUUUACACAAAGUUGGAAAAAUAAAAUACCAUUAGUGGGUCGAGCUAAAAAUAGCACAAGGCUGAAAACAUAACAUACUCUGAAAAACGGCUUUCCUUUUACCUAAUUGGUCAGUUGUCCCUCCAGGGUCUCAUGGCAUUUUUUGUUUAAUUAUUGUGGCCCCAUAAACGUAUUUGUAGUUGCUUGUGGCAAUUCAGUUUUCUUCUGCAGUAAAUUCCACUAACUUCCAUUUUAAAAAAAUGCAAGUCAAGUGUAAAAGGUUAUGACUUAAGGAACUCCCUGGCUGUAUGUGUCCCAGAAUAGUGCAGCGGAUACGGGGGGGGACAACAAAUGGUUCACUCCCACUCUCAUGCAGAACAGUGAGGGGUUGUUUUAAGCCAAGCUAGCGUAGCACCAUGGCUCCAGGGGUGGAUAUGUCAGUUUGUUAAUCGGGCCGGCACGUUAGUCCAAACCGAAAUAUCUCAACAUCUACUAAAUGGAUUGGAACAAAGUUAUGCACAGGCAUGCAUGGUACCCAGAGAAUGAAUCCUCAUGAGGUACAAAUUUCAUUUGCCAACACCUAUAAAACUAAUGAUACUCUCAACAGCCUUUUUUUUUCAGUUUCUAGGCAAACAAACAGAGAAUAAUUCCUCAUCCAAUGGGAUCUUCUACAAAAGAGCAGGGAGAAGGUGAGCUGUAGGUCGGUCUCCGUCAGCCCCGCUGAGGACAGCAGGAUCUCGUUGGAGCGCAGGAUCCGCUUGGAGCCCUGAGUAGGCGACAGAAGGAGGAGAAACCGAGAGAGAAGACAAAAGAGAGAACGUCAUGAGAGCAGAGAAAGAAAGUGGGGAGAGAUGGAAAGAUUACUGUGAGCACGCCCCAGCAAACUCCAGCAGAGUCAAAACAAUGAACUCUCAUCAACCGCAUGCAGCGAGGGAACUGUGGGAGCAAAGGAGGUGAAGGAAAAGAGAGAGUUGAAGGAGAGGAAACUGACUGAUAGGAGGGAGCAGAGGAGGAAGAUUGAGCAAGUGGCAGCAACAGCAUGGAAGAAGAAUUAAAACAGCUUAAAGUGUAUUAUGUGCCAAAUACAGCAGAGAAUUUAUUGGUUUACUUAGAUAGGAAACAAGAUGGAGAUGGUGAGGAGAGAAAACAAGCCAAGGAGCAGAAACUGGGAGUCAAGCCACAGCAUUAAAGAGGAAUUUAAACAUCUUAAAUUGUACUAUGUGUCAACAAAGAAUUUGUUGGUGUUCUCUUCAAUUAUAGACAAGAUGGAGAUAACAGUGAACAAAUGAAAAGUGCAACACAGCAGGAGAGCUGGAGAAAUAAAAGAAUAAGACCAAAUCUGACAAUACACAUAGUAUUUUUUGAGGUAAUCCAUGUAAACCUUUACAAACUUGGCAGUCAGAAAGCUGUUAAUUGGCAAGAAAUUGAAUACUGGACCAAGAAACAUUAAAAGAGGCUCCCUUCAAGUAAAAGGAAAAAACUAAUUUAGACUGUGUAGGAGUUGCAGAAAGUACUUUGGCUGUAAACCAAGAGGAGUGUCCAAAUCCAAUGACCUGACUCGACAAAACAAUGAAAAAAAAUGGAAAAAACGCUAAAAUUUUUUUGUUUAUUCAGCAACAUUUCAACAUCUACUGGGUUGGCACACUCAAUGUGAAAUUCAAGUCCUAAUACAAUUUUGCUGAAUGAAUGAAAUAAAAAAAAACUGUUGACUAAUAGGACUUAAUUAAAUCACAUGUUACAAAGAUUAAUUCAUUAAACAUAAAAAAAAACUUCUUCCCUGUAGUCAGGUGUUGGUACUGGACUCAUAAAAGUUUGACCGAAAUUAUGUUUUAUGCUUAUUGCGAGAUCACAAAAUAACGCAAUCUCGAGAGAAUCCAUCGUGUCAGGUUUCAAGAAGAAGGCUGUAGUAGGAUUUGUGUUUUCAUUGACUGGCUGUAGAGAUUUUAUGGUACCUGCAGCUUGACAGCGAUGACCACAGAGGUGAGGUCUUUAUCCAGCUCCUUCAGCAUGAUCAGCUUCUUCAGAGUCAGGUUGAACAGCCUGUGGUCAAACACAAAGAGGACUCGGAUUAGAAGAAGAAUAAAUAAACUGAACUUCUUUACACUCAUUAGAAAUCACCUACUCAGAUUUUUGCUCUCAUUAUUUCCCUACUUAAGCAACCCCCUGUGAUGAACAUUAGUUCAGCUUGGAAAGUGCAAAAUAGAUGAGAAACUGUCAAAAAAAAGAAAGAGAAGAAAGCUUCCCAGUGAAAUAUCUGCAGCUUCAAAUUCAAAGACAACCGAAACGAACAUCUCGAAUGCAAUACAUUUUUGAUUGAUGAUGCAUAAACAAAGCUUUGCUGCGUAUUAUUGCAACUGCAAACAAUAUAAAAGCACUAAAGGUAAAAGUAAAGCAACUCAAAACUUUUUAAACCUCUAUAUCUUUUGCUCCAUAACAACUAAAAUUCCAAACUGUGUAACUGAGCGGUUACAGGUUGGAAAAAUCCUCAAAGAAACAAUCACAGACUCGACCCCAAGAAUAGUCAUUUGUGCCCUCUGUAAAAUAAAAAGAGUCGCUGCACCUUCAUAAGUCAAGUGUUGGAUAAGAGAAACAGCUGAAGAUAAAACUAAAAAAUGCAAAAUGAAGGAGAAGACUUCGGCAAUUCGAUCCAUGUACAUGUUGCACUGUUGUAUUAGCCUGCAUUAGUUUUCGCUAGGUGUACCUAAAUGUAAUAAAAACAGAGUAAAUGGGGCAUUCUGGACGCUCAGCUGUACCAAGUUGAACCAAAUGUAUGCAUCAUGUCAUGGGCUCAAAAUGAGCCUAUAACCCUGUUAAUGUGUCAUCUCCUUUCUGCUUCAAAUUCACUUUCUGACUCUCCAGUGGACGAUCAAAUGAAGCAAAAAUAGAAUAAAAAGUGACACAUGAAGAGGCCUUUA